RNAcentral lists this ribosomal RNA (348 nucleotides) under uncultured bacterium. RNAcentral describes it as "bacterial SSU rRNA". It matches the Rfam family "Bacterial small subunit ribosomal RNA", at positions 8 to 384 of the family's 1533-position model. The record is from RNAcentral.
AGAGUUUGAUCCUGGCUCAGAACGAACGCUGGCGGCAUGCCUAACACAUGCAAGUCGAACGAAGUCUUCGGACUUAGUGGCGCACGGGUGCGUAACGCGUGGGAAUCUACCCUUGGGUACGGAAUAACUCAGAGAAAUUUGUGCUAAUACCGUAUAAUGACUUCGGUCCAAAGAUUUAUCGCCCAAGGAUGAGCCCGCGUAAGAUUAGCUAGUUGGUGGGGUAAAAGCCUACCAAGGCGACGAUCUUUAGCUGGUCUGAGAGGAUGAUCAGCCACACUGGGACUGAGACACGGCCCAGACUCCUACGGGAGGCAGCAGUGGGGAAUAUUGGACAAUGGGCGAAAGCCU